Pantoea sp. PSNIH1 is the source of this 171-nucleotide non-coding RNA. The record is from Rfam. NCBI's taxonomy places the organism in Bacteria, Pseudomonadati, Pseudomonadota, Gammaproteobacteria, Enterobacterales, Erwiniaceae.
ACUAAAUACGGGUGGCUUCCUGUCUGACAGGAAGCCACUGCACACGAAACAGAACGCGCUGCUAUCAGCCCUGUUUCGUAUGCAGAGUUACAGACGCACAGAACAACUGGAAUCGCAUGAACCCCAUUCUCAUUACUAAGCUGCAGCGCAAACUGGGCUACACUUUUACUC